Molecule: non-coding RNA, 72 nt
Organism: Eublepharis macularius
Lineage: Eukaryota; Metazoa; Chordata; Lepidosauria; Squamata; Eublepharidae
Source: the annotation of a RefSeq genome assembly
GGGGUUGUGGCUCAGUGGCAGAGCAUCCACUUGACAUGCAGAAGGCGCCAGGUUCAAUUCCUGGCAUCUCCA